RNAcentral lists this unclassified non-coding RNA (169 nucleotides) under uncultured fungus. RNAcentral's name for it is "sequence contains ITS1, 5.8S rRNA gene". The record is from RNAcentral. Lineage: Eukaryota; Fungi.
AAGAGUUGGGGUCCUCCGGGGCCCGAUCUCCCACCCUUUGUUGUCGCGAAUUUGUUGCCUCGGCGGGUUGUCUUUGUCAAAAAGGACGACGGGCUCCGGCCCGCCCGCCGCAGGACCAUUCAAACUCUGCUUUAACAAUGCAGUCUGAGAAGAUUUUAAUAAUAAAUCA